CAUUAGUUUUUUAAUUGAAAGCUUGUAUGAAGGGUUGAAUGAAAAAUAAGCUGUCUCAUUUAUAAAAAUUGAAUUUAACUUUUAAGUGAAAAGGCUUAAGUAAUAGAAAGGGACGAUAAGACCCUAUAAAACUUUAUAUAAAAUAAAUUAUUUAUUAUAAUUAUUUGUUUAAUAAUGAAUAAUAUAUUAAUAUUUUAUUGGGGCGAUAAGAAUAUAGACUAGAUAACUGUUCUUUAAUUGUAACAAAUAUAAUUGAUUUAUAUGAUCCUAAAUAAAGAUUAAAAGGUAAAGUUACUUUAGGGAUAACAGCGUAAUUUUUUUUAAGAGUUCUUAUCGACAAAAAAGAUUGCGA
Molecule: ribosomal RNA, 352 nt
Filed under: Odontozona addaia
Lineage: Eukaryota; Metazoa; Arthropoda; Malacostraca; Decapoda; Stenopodidae
Description: partial large subunit ribosomal RNA
Source: RNAcentral